UGGGGAAUAUUGCACAAUGGGGGAAACCCUGAUGCAGCGACGCCGCGUGAAGGAAGAAGUAUCUCGGUAUGUAAACUUCUAUCAGCAGGGAAGAAACUGACAGUACCUGAGUAAGAAGCCCCGGCUAACUACGUGCCAGCAGCCGCGGUAAUACGUAGGGGGCAAGCGUUAUCCGGAUUUACUGGGUGUAAAGGGAGCGUAGACGGCUUUGCAAGUCUGAAGUGAAAGCCCGGGGCCCAACCCCGGGACUGCUUUGGAAACUGUGUAGCUAGAGUACAGGAGGGGCAGGCGGAAUUCCUGGUGUAGCGGUGAAAUGCGUAGAUAUCAGGAGGAACACCAGUGGCGAAGGCGGCUUACUGGACAGUAACUGACGUUGAGGCUCGAAAGCGUGGGGAGCAAACAGGAUUAGAUACCC
Molecule: ribosomal RNA, 415 nt
Filed under: uncultured bacterium
Lineage: Bacteria
Description: bacterial SSU rRNA
Rfam family: Bacterial small subunit ribosomal RNA
Source: RNAcentral